GGAUAGGCCCUGUGCACCUGGGGCCUAUGCGCACGGUGCCUAGUGCGCUAAGGCCCUGCACACGUAGCAGCAAGCUUGUGCACCUGCAAGCUAGCCCGUAGCACGCCGACUGAGCACUACCACCUCAAGUAGUGCACUGCUGCUACUUUGGGCGGCACGUUGCCACCAUCAGUGGAGGAAAAUUUUCUCCCUCAUUUUUUGUGCCAAGAACCUUUUUUUCAUCUCUCUUCACCAGAUUUUGCCACUUGGCACAAAUCCAACAGUUCUAAAAUUCUAUAAAUUGCCCUUCCUUUUUUCUUCCUCUCAACACUUCUAUUUCUUUUAUUUUUC
Molecule: long non-coding RNA, 330 nt
Filed under: Carica papaya (papaya)
Lineage: Eukaryota; Viridiplantae; Streptophyta; Magnoliopsida; Brassicales; Caricaceae
Description: long non-coding RNA (CPAP_LNC002647)
Source: RNAcentral